Molecule: long non-coding RNA, 2526 nt
Filed under: Bos grunniens (domestic yak)
Lineage: Eukaryota; Metazoa; Chordata; Mammalia; Artiodactyla; Bovidae
Description: lncRNA (ENSBGRG00000015867.1)
Rfam family: Highly up-regulated in liver cancer conserved region (bases 627-907)
Source: RNAcentral
AUGUUUCUUCUGUCUCUAUUUUAUUCUGCUGCUAUUCUUGUUCAGUGGCUCAGUUGUGUUGGACUCUGUGGCGCCAUGAACUGCAGCACCCUGGACUUCCGUGCCCUUCACUAUCUCUCUGAGUUAUUGUAUUCCGAUGACACUUCAGAGAAGAAGAGGACGUCAUCGUCAACCAUCAUGACCACGCAGCAGCUCCACACGGUUGCCACUCUAAGAACUCGGAACAUGAACUCUCCCGCUGGCUGAUGUGUUGAGGUUUCACAUCCAAAUCUUCAUUACAUACUAGGACACAAAGUGCUGGAAAUGAACACAAGAGAAUAGGAUUCGAUUAGAAGAGGAAGUUGUAUCAAGUUGCUUCUUUUCCUAUUUUAAUGAGGGAAUUAAUUUUAACCAUUAAGAAAUGGAGAGACCCGUUCUUCAUUUUUGCUCGGUGACUUACAAUUUCCAGAUAAUGCAAGGCUUUUACCUGUAGAUAUAGAAUGACCUUGUCUUGAACCCCUGAAAAUAUUAUGCUGAAAUGAAUAGAACAGGUAAUAAAUGAAAUGGUUAAUUUUUGGUGGUGAAAGACCUGUUAGCACUUCUUGCUUUCUCUUCCUAGAAAUACAUAUGCAUCUGGGUAGGGCUGUGCUUUGGAAGACACCCUGAAGUAGAAGCAAAAAGAUUCUUUGCUUAAAGCAUUAAAACCACCACCACAACCAACGGCAACAAAACCAACAAAACCUAGGACAAACGAGUUUUGUGGCAACAACAAUAAAAGCCCAGGUCAGGUAAGUAAGCACAGAGUUAUUUCUUAAGGAACACAAAUUAAGUGUUCAGCGUUUGUCCUUUCUUUUGGAUUAUGCUGCUUGCAAAGAGAAUCAUUUGAAAGGAUUAAUAUGCUAUGCUAUGCUAUGCUAAGUCACUUCAGUUAUGUCCGACUCUGUGUGACCCCAUAGACGGCAGCCCACCAGGCUCCCCUGUCCCUGGGAUUCUCCAGGCAAGAACACUGGAGUGGGUUGCCAUUUCCUUCUCCAGUGCAUGAAAGUGAAAAGUGAAAGUGAAGUCGCUCAGUCAUGUCCGACUCUUAGCGACCCCAUGGACUGCAGCCUACCAGGCUGCUCCGUCCAUGGGAUUUUCCAGGCAGAGUACUGGAGUGGGGUGCCAUUGCCUUCUCAGGAAAGGAUUAAUAAAACACCAUCAAAACUCAAACUAGGACUAAACAAUUAAACACAGUUGGCAGUAUCUAUUCUUAAUUCAUCUAUACAAUUAGGUCUCCAGUUUUUAAGCAUCUUAGCAUCCAGUGUUUUGUCUCUAGACACAAAAACUAUGCUCCAGGUGGCUCUAAAACUCAAGAGACGACUUGAUAAAGAAGGUGAUUUGGAAGGUGUGACUGUGAUCACCUCAAAGGAAGGGAUUGAAUUGGGGUCAAAGAUGAAAUUGGAAAAGAAUUGACAGUUUGUAGAAAAGACGUGCUGAAUUAAAAGUUGGUUUUAUUACUGUUCCUAUUGGAAGUGAGAAGUAAUUCCAGUAACUCUAGGGUAGUGAUCAUAAUUCCAGGUCAUGCUUUCCUCUCUGUUUUCAAAUUCAGUUGUGCUAUUUCCAAGAGCCCAGCAAAAGAGAACAAGAGUCUGCCUCUGAAUCUCAGAGUCCUGUGAUCGGCUGAAAUAACUACUGAGACCUCGUGUUCCAACAGCACUUUAUCAAGUGUUUUCACAUAAAAGAUCUUUCUUGAUAUAACUCUUGCGUGGUGUGUCUUCCAUUUUCUAGACAGUGUGAGUUUUUUGAUGUGUGAGAUGAACUGAAACAGGAAGAGGGACAGGAAAUUUACAGACCUGUGGAAUAAUAUUCCACAAUGGGGUAUUCUUUAUAAUUAUCCUGGCUGAAUGGCACCACCCAAAGUUCUUAAAUCAUCAACAAUGCUGUUUUUACUGUAGAGGAUAAGAGUUACGAUCCUGCGACCCUUUAAAUCUUCUUCCUUGACAAAAGUGAUCUACCUCUCCAGCCAGCCUGUCUUGAUGAUCCAUGGCGGUGCCACGCUGGUGCUGGAUGUGUGUGAUGGAGGGCUCCUAAAAGGCUCUUGGUAGGAGGAAAGUGCUACUUACAUAGAGCAGGAAUCUUGUGAGAUUUAAAGGGGGGAAGAUGCUAGUUCGAGUCAUGAAUAACAAUUCAGCCAAAAGCACUUUUGCAUUGCUGCUGCUGCUGCUGCUAAGUCGCUUCAGUCGUGUCUGACUCUGUGCAACCCCAUAGACGGCAGCCCACCAGGCUCCCCCAUCCCUGGGAAGAACACUGAAGUGGGUUUCCAUUUCCUUCUCCAAUGCAUGAAAGUGAAAAGUCAAAGUGAAGUCGCUCAGUCGUGUCUGACUCUUAGCGACCCCAUGGACUGCAGCCCACCAGGCUCCUCCAUCCAUGGGAUUUUCCAGGCAAGAGUACUGGAGUGGGGUGCCAUUACCUUCUCCGCACUGCUGUUUUUGUUUUCUGUAACUUGUAACCAAGAUUUUUUUUUAAAGAUUUUAAACAUGACAUUAGUUUCUUGACAGCACGGGUUAC